CCUACGGGAGGCAGCAGUGGGGAAUAUUGGGCAAUGGGCGCAAGCCUGACCCAGCAACGCCGCGUGAAGGAAGAAGGCUUUCGGGUUGUAAACUUCUUUUCUCAGGGACGAAGCAAGUGACGGUACCUGAGGAAUAAGCCACGGCUAACUACGUGCCAGCAGCCGCGGUAAUACGUAGGUGGCAAGCGUUAUCCGGAUUUACUGGGUGUAAAGGGCGUGUAGGCGGGAAAGCAAGUCAGAUGUGAAAACCAUGGGCUCAACCUGUGGCCUGCAUUUGAAACUGUUUUCCUUGAGUACUGGUGAGGCAGACGGAAUUCCUAGUGUAGCGGUGAAAUGCGUAGAUAUUAGGAGGAACACCAGUGGCGAAGGCGGUCUGCUGGACAGCAACUGACGCUGAGGCGCGAAAGCGUGGGGAGCAAACAGGAUUAGAUACCCGGGUAGUC
Molecule: ribosomal RNA, 443 nt
Filed under: uncultured bacterium
Lineage: Bacteria
Description: partial 16S ribosomal RNA
Rfam family: Bacterial small subunit ribosomal RNA
Source: RNAcentral